RNAcentral lists this ribosomal RNA (543 nucleotides) under Chicoreus axicornis. Its description in RNAcentral is "partial 12S ribosomal RNA". The record is from RNAcentral. Lineage: Eukaryota; Metazoa; Mollusca; Gastropoda; Neogastropoda; Muricidae.
AACCAAGAUGGCUAAGUUAUACUUUUACGGUAAAAAGACAGUUAAGUUUAAACUUAAGUUUUAUUAGUGUAUAUAUAGGGGUAGAAUUUGAGUAUAUAUUUUUAAUUUGACAAAAACUUUAGCACUGAGGCUGUGAUAGCUUUGAGGGAAACUGGGAUUAGAUACCCCAUUAUUCUUAGUUGUAAAUUAAUGUAAACUUACCGGAGUACUACGAACCAAAGAGUUUAAAACUCAAAGGGCUUGGCGGUGUUUUAGACCUCUUAGGGGAACCUGUCUCAUAAUCGACAAUCCACGUUAAACCUAACUUCUUUUUGUACUCAGUAUGUAUACCAUCGUCGUCAGGUAACUUUUAAAAAACUAAAAGUUAGCCAAUAAGCUGUGUAAGCUUAAACGUCAGAUCAAGGUGCAGUCUAUAAAGGAGUGAGGAUGGGUUACAAUUAUUAAGUUAUAAUUACGAAAUAGUUACAUAAAUAAGUAACUAUGAAGGAGGACUUAAAAGUAAACUGAACUAUAUAAACAUAUUGAAUUAGGCUCUGAAACGUG